RNAcentral lists this ribosomal RNA (327 nucleotides) under uncultured eukaryote. RNAcentral describes it as "partial 18S ribosomal RNA". It matches the Rfam family "Eukaryotic small subunit ribosomal RNA", at positions 1470 to 1796 of the family's 1831-position model. The record is from RNAcentral.
CCCUUAGAUGUUCUGGGCCGCACGCGCGCUACACUGAUUCAUGCAACAAGUUUUGUCCUUGGCUGAUAGGCCUGGGUAAUCUUUGAACGUGAAUCGUGAUGGGGAUAGAUGAUUGCAAUUAUUCAUCUUCAACGAGGAAUUCCUAGUAAACGCAAGUCAUCAGCUUGCAUUGAUUACGUCCCUGCCCUUUGUACACACCGCCCGUCGCACCUACCGAUUGAAUGGUCCGGUGAAAUCUUCGGAUCUGAGAGAUGUCUGAUUAAUUUCGGGCGCCUUUUGGAAAAGUUGCUUAAACCUUACCAUUUAGAGGAAGGUGAAGUCGUAACA